UUCUUAUCCAGAGAGGUGGAGGGACUGGCCCGAUGAAGCCCGGCAACCCGUUCUUUCCCGGUGUAAUGCACCGGGAGGGAACAUAUGGUGCUAAUUCCUACAAAACCGCUAGAGUUAUAGCGAUUUUGGCAGAUGAGAA
Regulatory RNA element from Paenibacillus polymyxa SC2, 139 nucleotides. It matches the Rfam family "SAM riboswitch aptamer (S box leader)". Rfam says of the family: The SAM riboswitch is found upstream of a number of genes which code for proteins involved in methionine or cysteine biosynthesis in Gram-positive bacteria. The SAM riboswitch acts at the level of transcription termination control. The record is from Rfam. NCBI's taxonomy places the organism in Bacteria, Bacillati, Bacillota, Bacilli, Caryophanales, Paenibacillaceae.